AGACAAGAUCCUUUAUUACAUAUUCAGAAAAGAAAAUUUAGGAUGCGUAACGAAAAAAAAUUAACUCAACAGGUGGUAUAUGCAAAGGGAAGCACUGCCCACGCAGUAUACAAUAUACAGCAAUUUAAUAUGAAGGGUUUGCAUCAGAGGGUUGGGGUAUGUAUAUUAACUAGAACGGGUCAUAUAAACUUGCUAUAGUACUAUAAGUCUAUACGCAAUAGAUAAUACGAGGCAACGUAUAAAAAGAAAAAUUUAAAACGAUAUAAAAUAACGACUAUUAAAAUGGUCAAAUCCGAUCGAUUCCUGUGGCUUUAAGAA
This is a non-coding RNA of Paramuricea clavata, 318 nucleotides long. Lineage: Eukaryota; Metazoa; Cnidaria; Anthozoa; Malacalcyonacea; Plexauridae. The record is from the annotation of a GenBank genome assembly.